CACAAGGGGUGAAGCCUGCGGUUCAAUUGGAGUCAACGCCAGAAAUCUUACCCGGAGAGACAGCAGAAUGAAGGUCAAGCUGAAGACUUUACCAGACAAGCUGAGAGGUGGUGCAUGGCCGUCGUCAGCUCGUGCCGUGAGAUGUCCUGUUAAGUCAGGUAACGAGCGAGGUCCCUGCCCUUAGUUGCCACUAUUACUCUCAGGAGUAGUAGGGCGAAUUAAGGGGACCGCCGCAGUUAAUGCGGAGGAAGGAAGGGGCCACGGCAGGUCAGUAUGCCCCGAAACUCUGGGGCCACACGCGGGCUGCAAUGGUAACGACAAUGAGUUUCAAAAUCGAAAGAUAGAGGUAAUCUCUAAACGUUACCACAGUUAUGAUUGAGGGCUGCAACUCGCCCUCAUGAAUAUGGAAUCCCUAGUAACCGCGUGUCAUUAUCGCGCAGUGAAUACGUCCCUGCUCCUUGCACACACCGCCCGUCGUUUCAUUGAAGUUUGCCUUUAGCGAGGUGAUGUCUAAUUGGCAUUAUCGAACUUGGGGUAAGUGACAAGGGAAAAGUCGUAACAAGGUGACCGUAGGGGAACCUGCGGUCGGAUCACCUCCUU
Molecule: ribosomal RNA, 600 nt
Filed under: uncultured marine crenarchaeote
Lineage: Archaea; Thermoproteati; Thermoproteota
Description: bacterial SSU rRNA
Rfam family: Archaeal small subunit ribosomal RNA
Source: RNAcentral